RNAcentral lists this ribosomal RNA (253 nucleotides) under uncultured bacterium. RNAcentral describes it as "partial 16S ribosomal RNA". It matches the Rfam family "Bacterial small subunit ribosomal RNA", at positions 524 to 776 of the family's 1533-position model. The record is from RNAcentral.
UACGUAGGGGGCUAGCGUUGUCCGGAUUUAUUGGGCGUAAAGAGCGUGUAGGCGGCCAGGUAGGUCUGCUGUGAAAACUCGAGGCUCAACCUCGAGACGUCGGCGGAAACCAUCUGGCUAGAGUCCGGAAGAGGAGAGUGGAAUUCCUGGUGUAGCGGUGAAAUGCACAGAUAUCAGGAAGAACACCCGUGGCGAAGGCGGCUCUCUGGGACGGUACUGACGCUGAGACGCGAAAGCGUGGGGAGCGAACAGG